AUGAUUCAUCAUCUCUUCUUCUGGUGCCUGACAGGUAUCUGUCUGGGUAUUGAAGUCCGCCAGACUCCCUCCGAGUUUAUCACAGAUGUUGGAUCCAAAGUGCAGAUUUUCUGCAGCCAUGAAAAGACUGACUACAGGGUGAUGCUGUGGUACCAGCAGUCACCCGGAGAGACAGCUAUGAAACUCAUUGGAUUUUUAAACGUCAAAGCUGUCACAUUUGACCAAGACCAAUAUAAAGAUCAUUUUGAUUUUACAGGAGAUUUGAGUGGGGAUACAGCAAAAAACGGCUCUCUGAUAGUCAAAGUGGCACAACAUGAGAACAGUGCAGUGUACUACUGUGCAGCUAGAUAUGCACAAUGA
Pelmatolapia mariae (spotted tilapia) is the source of this 360-nucleotide non-coding RNA. The record is from the annotation of a RefSeq genome assembly. NCBI's taxonomy places the organism in Eukaryota, Metazoa, Chordata, Actinopteri, Cichliformes, Cichlidae.